CAUAGCUAGAAUCUAAGGUCGAUGACGGCCUCUGUCAAACCCUUGCCGUUCGAUUUGGUCAAGAAGCUUCUCUUCCAGCUCUUGAAGGGCGUCGACGACUGUCAUGAUAACAGCAUCCUCACUGGAACCUAAACCUAAGAAUCUGCUGCUUGAUAAGAAACAACAAAGCCUCAAGAUUGGUGAUGGGAUCAGUCAGUCUUUCGCUUUCUUCUAUGAGUCUUUUGUGCCAGAGGUUUUGCUUGGAUUCACAGAUUACUCGACUCCGAAGGACAUUUGGGCCGUCAGUUGCAUCUUCGCUGAGAUGGCAUGGUAACUGGGGAUGUACAGUUGAUUGGAAUUACUAAGAUUCUCCCAGGUGGGGCUUUGGGGAUUUGAAUAAAAACUCCUUUACUGGGAUUUAUAGCUUUCUAGCAAAUGGGUUCGACAUGAAGCCCAGCAUCCUUCAUGGAACUUGUUCUUAGCAAAUGGGUUUGCACAUUUCUAUUAUGCUCUUGGCUCAUCUUCUCUCCAGUAUACUCAGUGGUGGGAUUACAUGGUGACUCUAAAGUGAGAGCAGAAUAUUUGGGAGGGUGGUUGGUAGUGGAAGGUUGGAUCAAGCCUUCACUUUUUGAUGGCAUUCCCAAUGGAGAUAUGCUUGAUGGAACAGUGGUACAACUAAAGUCGGUAACUUUGGAUAAGUAUGUCUUUGCAGAAAAUGGGGGAGGGGCCAAUGUCUCUGUUAGUAGAGAUGUUGCAUCUUCAUGGGAAACGCUGAGGGAAUAAGAAGAAAGAAUGAAAUCCAAUCCAGACCUGUAUUUUAACUGUGCUAUUAUUGGUUGUAUUAAUGUCAUUAUGCCCCAGCUUUUCACGUGUGAUUUCUGUUGUUUCCAGACUUGAGUCUUCUAUGUCUGAAAAGCAUCACAAAUGGAUGAGAAGACAUUGGAUUUCACUUUUGUUUCAUACACUAUCAAUUCGAUGUUUGAAAUUGCAAACCACUCAGCUUCAACUUUACAAAUUUCACACCAUGGCUGCACAAACCAAGUUCCUAGAAUGGUGCGAAGACGAGUUUGUAUCAAUAUGUUGGCUGCACAAACUAAGUUCUUGCACAAACUAUACAUGUGGCAUGUUUUGGAAUAAUGUG
Molecule: long non-coding RNA, 1120 nt
Organism: Rosa chinensis
Lineage: Eukaryota; Viridiplantae; Streptophyta; Magnoliopsida; Rosales; Rosaceae
Exons: 9
Source: RefSeq, a predicted model, not a curated record